Acanthopagrus latus (yellowfin seabream) is the source of this 3108-nucleotide long non-coding RNA. RefSeq lists it as uncharacterized. NCBI's taxonomy places the organism in Eukaryota, Metazoa, Chordata, Actinopteri, Spariformes, Sparidae. The transcript is spliced from 2 exons. The record is from RefSeq and is a predicted model, not a curated record.
UCAGGGCAACAAACAAGAAACAACUAUUUAGGCAACCUGUGAUGUUACGUGCCGCUGAGGAGAAGGUGGUAAUUGCCUCUACUCAGAGGACAAUCUAUGCUUCGUUUUAUUUUCCCUGCUCCACAAACCCCUGUGUUGGUUAAUUAGGAAAUGAAGGAUCAUGUUUUUGUCUGUUGAGGGAAAAAAAAAAAAAAAUAGAUAUGAAAGACAGAAACACACACCGGCUUCUUGAUUACACGGAGGUAUCUUUUAAUAGAAUAGGAGCUGAAACGCAGACCAGAUCAAAUGUGAUUAGCGGCAUGUUCUAUGAGAGCUGGCAAGUGGAGAAAAAUACCUGUUUUGGAACUAAUGGGAGGAGGCUUCAUGAAUUUUAAGUGUCUGCACGAGAGACACAGGCAGAGAGGAUGAGUGGGGGAGAUCAGAUCAGUUCUACACCCUCUCAAUCAUCCAGCUGUGAAGUCAAACACUCGCGCCUAGAGAUAGAGUCAUUUGUAAGAUAAAUAAAGCUAGAUGCAGCGGCCUGCCCUCCUGAACCAGACAAAGGGAGAGUAGCUGGGCGUCUCUCUCUGUCAUCUGUCGGAGGGCCGAAGCUCAGCCUAGAAACUAUCAGGAAGAUGAUGUGUCUCUGGAGACAAACACGCCUGGGGAAAGAGGCAGCUCUUAAUCAUCUGAGACCCAGUUCUCUGGCGUUUCUCUCAUUGUUACGGGACACUCCAGCUCAUGCAUACGUACCGCGUCUCCUUCGAACGCUAUUAGCAUACUUGCAAAUCCUUACAAACUGCAAUUCCGCGCUCCCAUUUAUUUUGAACCUUAAGACAAUGGCAUAUCUAAACUGAGAGUGUUAGUUAUUUCCUUCUCAGGGCUCUGCAGUGGCUUUUAUUAGGCAGUAUAAUAGCUCUCUGAGCAAGGCAAAGGCCUACGUGGCUAAUUAGAGACGUGGACUCAAACAUGGCUCAUCUCUUCAAAUAGAGUCUGGCAUGCUCGAGUGGAGAAUGACAGAGGAAAUCCAUCUCCAGUCGUCUCCGCCUCUCCCCCCCUCCAUUAGGUCUGCAUGGGAGCAGCAGCCAGCAGCCACUGUGGGCUAUUUCAGCCGGGCUGCAGAGAGGAGCCAGCAAGAUGAUCAUUUGUUACCAGUCAGUCAGGAGGCGCCGGACCACACUGAGACAGGAGGUGACUUUGUAGUUGAGGAAUUUCGGCGAUGGGCUCGCCAACACUUUGGAGGACAUUUGUUUUCGCCACUAAAAGACGGCAAACAGGUGUACUUUGAUGAGUGGGGAGCCGGCCAGACCAAUGGGAUGUUGAUGUCCUUUGGCUGAUUCAUCUAAAUCAGCGGUAAAAGAGGGGACAUUUGUUUUCAGUGGAGAGGGCUAUUUAUCAACAGUGAUUGAUAUCCAGCAACUCUGGACUGCCUCAGGCUGCGCUCAUCCAUCCGGUGCCAAUCACGAAGCUCUGCCAGAGAGAUUCACACCGCCUUCAGCGCUGGAGUCUGGCUGCUCUGACAGUCCAAGAACACUCCGGAGACUUUACACUUGUAUACAAUGCACAAUGCUAAUUCACAUGUCAUUUUACAGAGGUCUGAUAUACUGAAACAUAUGGUAACACUAGGGUACACACAUUAUCCAUCAAUUAGCUGCUUAUUUGCAUACAUAUUAGUAGCAUUUUGGCGCGUUAUUAGUGAUUAUAAAACACUUAAUAGUGAUAUUCAUAUCCAUAUGCUACAGACACCAGGCCAUUAACUGAGAUUUUCUUUCCCAAUAACCUCCUAAUUACUGUUUAUUGACAGUUAGUGAGGAAGUUUUACAUUAAUCACUAUCUUGGUAUGCUUUGCUCUCCUGUCAUUCUCUCUUCAUUACAAUAUAUAUGCUCAAUUCUUAUGUAAAAAAAGCGCAAAACUCUUUCCGUUUGAGGGCUUAAUGAUUUAAUGAUGGGCCACAGGUCAGAAAAGUAAACAACAUUCUAAUUGUAUCGUUAAAGGUGCAAUAGGUACGAAUUUUAGUUGAAAACAUUCAAAGAUGUAAUAAAAUUAUCUACAGGAUGUGUUAUAACAGUUCUGAUGUUCUGAUGUUUAUGUGUGGCUCUGCAAAGAUAUAUACCGAAGUAACCAUGCUAACCAGCGAGCUAGCUGUGUGGCUAAAUGAGCUAGCUGGCUAAUGACAGCUACAUUUUGCAGCAGUUAACGGUUACUUUAACGGUAAUACUGCCUCCUAUUUGUUUUGAGCAAAGAGGGGGCAGCAGUUUCUUCUGGGGGCUUAGAUAGUGGAAAAUGAUCAAUUUUUAGCGACUGACAUAUUCCAAGUGCAUUUUUCUCCUCACAAAAAAAUAAACAGUGAUUUUUAUUUUAGAAAGCUCUGGUGUGCCUAAUCAAACCUUAGGGAGGGCCAACUUUGGGCAGAGCUGGUUUAAAGUGUUCAAAUAACUUUAAAUGAAGUCUGUCUGUUCACUAGUACAACCUGCAUGGGUCAAUAAAUGUCGACCUACUAGUGAAUUACUUAUGAUCGAGACUUCACUGUCGAACUUAUGGGGAGUUAGAAAGAUUUAUUUGGACACUGUUAACACUGAAAUGGGUCAAACAUCCAAAUAACCAAGAUUCAUUUAUAGUUCAUUUCAUUUCAGUGAAUAGUUCUUUCACUGUGAAGCAUUAUUUAACAACUAUUUUUUGUGAUGUAAAAGGUUAUUAAAUACUGUGUAAUUCAUUUGUGAUUGUUAGAUAGCUGUUAAAAAGUUGCAACCAGUGUUCAUAAACCUUUACAACUGUUCAUGGCUAAUAUAUGUCCCUUGAUAUAAAGUAAAUAACUGCUAUAUAUUUGCAGUACCAUUAAAUCAAUAAACAUAUAAUGUAUCGUAGAUUGCACUCCAAGGCCAUUUACUGCGUGCAUGUGCCGGGGGCUUAUUCGUAUGUUCGGGUUACCAUGAAACCACUUUUACAAAUCAAGUGAUAAUCAUAAUCAGACCCAUUAAGUCCGGGCAAGCCACCCUCAACAGAGGAACAAGGACACCCCGACUCAGGAGCGAUGACUGUGUAUCAUGCUAUGCCCGGCCAUGUUGGCUGCCACUCAUUAUCAAAUGAAGAAGAAAAAGAGCUUUCUCUUGAUUAAAUCUUUGUGUGCU